Paramuricea clavata is the source of this 751-nucleotide non-coding RNA. NCBI's taxonomy places the organism in Eukaryota, Metazoa, Cnidaria, Anthozoa, Malacalcyonacea, Plexauridae. The record is from the annotation of a GenBank genome assembly.
GAUUGAUACUGUCGAUUCCAACAGGGUACUUCUCUGAAAUCCGAUUCCUACAGGUAACAUUUUUACCAGAGCUCAUCCAUAGGGGGGGUGCGGAUAAUAAAUGGAAUGACCCAUUAUACUUUAUUAUACGCCGAUGUACUAUGAAGUGAACUUGAAUAAUGGAACAACUUAUAGGUAAGAUUUCGAUGCGAAACUUUUCUGUUUUAUGGUCCAGAUAUAAUUUAUAAUAUUGCGAAGUCUGCAAAUGACAUAGCUAUUAUCAAACACGUUUAAAUUGAAAAAAACCGCGCCACUCCUAAUGAUUUAUAUAUAACAAAUCCGCCAUUUUGUUUGUGAAAGUUCGCACAUGCUCAGAAUCCAUGUCCGCAAUUUCUGGCCAUGCUGGAAACGGUCUUAAAAACAGCGAGCCAGUCCACUCAAACAUUUUUUUUGAAAUCCUUCAAAACUUACAAUUUGACUAUGCAAUAUUCCAACUGUGAUCACACAAAUUUUGAUAGUGUGAUCAGGCUUCAAACACUUUCCAAAUCUGAACUAAGUUCGCUCUAAACGUCCCGGCAAAUCUUGUCUCAAACAUUGAUAUCUCGAUAACUGACAGCUUAUACUCCGAUCAAUAGUUCAACCACAGGGGGCCCCACUAUGAGUUAUGAUUGAAAUAAUAUUGCAUUUAUUUUUAAAAACCUACUUGAAUCCCCUUGAUAAUCGAUUAUUUCUUCUCUCGAAGUUCUGUAAACAUUUCGAACUGCUUGGAGUC